GCUAGGCAUGGUAGUGCAUGCCUGUAAUCCUAGCUACUCAGGAGGCUGAGGCAGGAGAAUCACUUGAACCCGGGAGGUGGAGGUUGCAGUGAGCCGAGAUCGUGCCACUGCACUCCAGCCUGGGCAACAGAGUGAGAUUCUGUCUCAA
Molecule: unclassified non-coding RNA, 148 nt
Organism: Macaca mulatta (Rhesus monkey)
Lineage: Eukaryota; Metazoa; Chordata; Mammalia; Primates; Cercopithecidae
Rfam family: Metazoan signal recognition particle RNA
About the family: The signal recognition particle (SRP) is a universally conserved ribonucleoprotein. It is involved in the co-translational targeting of proteins to membranes.
Source: Ensembl